RNAcentral lists this ribosomal RNA (328 nucleotides) under uncultured bacterium. RNAcentral describes it as "bacterial SSU rRNA". It matches the Rfam family "Bacterial small subunit ribosomal RNA", at positions 8 to 334 of the family's 1533-position model. The record is from RNAcentral.
AGAGUUUGAUUCUGGCUCAGGACGAACGCUGGCGGCACGCCUAACACAUGCAAGUCGAACGGACGAGGAGGAGCUUGCUUCUCCGAGUUAGUGGCGGACGGGUGAGUAACACGUGAGCAACCUGCCCUUGGGAGGGGGAUAGCUUCUGGAAACGGAUGGUAAUACCCCAUAACAUAUAUUUUAGGCAUCUAAGAUAUAUCAAAGAAAUUCGCUCAAGGAUGGGCUCGCGUCUGAUUAGAUAGUUGGUGAGGUAACGGCCCACCAAGUCGACGAUCAGUAGCCGGACUGAGAGGUUGAACGGCCACAUUGGGACUGAGACACGGCCCAG